GCUUGGUAGACAUGUUCCCUGCCUAUAAAGACUUUACAGGCCAGAGGGGAGAUAGGCAUUAAUAUAAGUAGAUGUUACUUAUUUUUAAUUGCCAGGGAAAAUGGGGGUAACAUUUCAUUUCCUCUGCUUAAAUCGUUGGUGCUCCGCAUGCCAGGGCUUUUGAAUUUCAGACUAGGAUUUCUCAAUAUAUUGGCACCGGGUGCCUUUUGGCAGGUGUGCGUUCGUAUAAGGACAUCUAGAAAUCGAUUUGGACGUUAGCUUCACAAAAGCAAAAAGUCGGUUUCCCACUCCCUACCAUCUUCCUGACGUUUCUUUGGCGAGAACCCCAGCCUGCACAGAUCUCUGAUUGCAGUGAGGUGGGGGUGCAAAGGCUGCAGCCUGAUUUUAAGAGCUGCACAGUGAGAUUGAAUGUGGGUGGAAAAAGCUUUGGUUCGAUUGCUUCUCCCCAGAUCGUCACCAUAGGGUGCCAGGUCGAUGAUGGUUCAGCUUCUGUGGUACCACGUUCCACCCCGAUCCUGUCAAGCGAGGAACUGAUUGCCUUGAAUUUCAAGGGACCUGAUGGGCAGGAGUUUGGGAAAUGGAAUUUUUUUCCUCUUGAGUCCAGUGUUUAUGUAAAUAGGCAGAGUGUUUUGUGUAGUAUGUUUGAAUAUGUGUGUGUGCGUGUAUGUGUGCAUGUGCAUCUAGGUGUUGACAUCUCCCCCCAAAUUGCUCCUUGUCCGAUUCCACCUUCUCCCCCUUCCAUCAGGGGGUUGGGUUGCAGUAGCAAAGCAGGCCCGGAACCAAGGUGGCUCGUGGCGAGGGUUUGAUCGUAGGUGACUUAUCAGGAGCCGCCAGGGAGCGGGGAGGGAAAUGCCGCCUCCGCCUUGGAGGAGAACCAAAAUUAUCUGUGGGCAGCACGCAGCCCGACUCCAUCCCCAACCCACUCCACCAGCCCUGGGACACACAUUCACACCGACAGCGUAACACUACCGCAGGCAGCCCUCAGCCUGUCCCUGACCCAUUCCACCACCCAAAGUACACACACACACACACACACACACACAAAACACACGUACAGGAACAGAACACUACUACAGGCAGCCCACAGCCCAAAUGUCCCUGACCCACUCCACGCACAGACACACCCGGAGUCACACAACAGUACUGUUGACAGCAGGCAGCCCAACUCUGUCCCCGACCCAGCCCCACCACUCACACACACACACACAAACACACAGUCACACAACAGUCCUGUGGACAGCACGCAGCCCAACUCCGUCCCCGACCCACUUCCCUACCUCCGCCCCGUGACAGACACCCAGACACCCAGACAGACAGACAGCCAGACAGCCAGCCCCACAACGCCCCGCCCAGCCGGUUGCAUCACCCCAGGAAAACCGAACAAGAAAAACAAGCGUGGGUUAGUAGCAGAGCGGCCUCUGCAGGCUGACAAGUCUCCCUCGUCACCCCCUCGCAGGCCUAAACCCUGGCAAGGUCUCUUCUGACUCUUCGGGAGAAGUCGGAUCGAUCUUACCUCUCCUGGCCCCGUUUCACGGGAACUCAAACGGUCAGGAUCUUGUGCAAACGAGGAGAAGAAGCCACCAUUAACAACUGGCCUCUGGCCACCAAAAUCUACAGUCCACCGUCGCUGGUACUUUGAUUUGGGGAGUCUGGGGAGACUCUGUGUCGCCAUACUCCGGGUCGUAAACUCUCCGUCUGGACUGUUGGGUACUGAAAGGUAGAGGAUUUGGGGAGGUGGAUGGUCAGAUGUUUUGGGAGCACGGCUGUUUUGAGAAGCAGUGUGGUCUAACUGAUAGAACAUGGGCCUGAGAAUCAGUAGGACCUGAGUUCUCAUCCUGACUUCGCCACUUGUCUGCUGUGUGUACUUGGGCGGGAUGUUUCACUUCUCUGGGCCUCAUCUGUAAAAUGGGGAUAAAGAGUGUGAGCCCCGUGUGGGACAGGGACUGUGACCAACCUGAUUAACUUCUAUCUACCCCACCACUUAGAACAGUCCUUGGCACAUAGUAAGUGCUUAACAAGUACCAUCAUUAUUGUUAUUAUGAUGAUGAAGGAUUGUGUCCAACCUGAUUAGCUGGUAUCUAUCCCUUGUACCUGUGCUUAGUACAAGGCCUGUCACAUAGUAACAAAUACCAAAUAUAGGGGUUUAGAAGAAUCUGUCAACCAGCAGUCCAUACUGGUUUACUUGGGGAAAGUCAGGAUUGAGAUGAGAGAGUUAGGGGUGUUGGAUGGUCCUUACUGGGGCUCACAUUCUAAAUAGGAGGAAGAACAUGUAUUGAAUUCCUAUUUUACAGAUGAGAAAACCAAGGCACAGAGAAGUGAAGUGACUUGCCCAAUAUCACGCAGCAGGUCUGUGCUGGAGCUGGGAUUAGAACCCAGCUCCUCUGACUCCCGAAUCUGUGCUCUUCCCAUUAGACCAUGCUGUUCCUUGUUCUCUCAGUCUUUCAUUCUGUUUCCUUAGCACAGCGCUCUCUUCAAGGGGGGCGGAGAGCUUCUCACCCAGAAAUAAUCUCAACCUCCACUCCCUUGAGUAGUGGCCCGGCUUUCCAAAGUGGGGCUCCUACUAGCCAAUUCUAAUGAGCCAGCAGUGCCCUUUUCUCUCCCUCCUAUUCCUGCAACCUCUUAGUCCCCCUUCGCAGUGGAAGCCCUCUGGGAGAGGCAGCUCACCUUAGCCUCGUUUGCUUCCCCCCAGAAUAUGAGGUGGGCUUGUUGCCCAGAAGCUCUAGUGGUGGGGUGAGAUGCAAAACUAGAGGUUUUUGCGGCAACGGGAAAUUGCUCCAUAUGGCCACUGGAAGACGGCAAAUGCCCCCCACCUUCCCACAACCCUAUCUUGGGCAAGAACCCCUUGUCCCCCAGGGCAAUAUUUUCAGGGUGCAACUUCCCACUGGCCUGAGCAAAGGGGAGCAUGCCGACGGUAGAGGAGACGGAGGGAUGGAGCUGUCUGGGAAGAAGGGCCUGGUCCUUAUUGUAGCUGCACCCUGGGAACGAGGCUGCAGGGCCCCCCUCUCCCCCCACUCCACCACCCUCCCUCCCCCCCAUCACAGGCUUGGGGACUGCGUGACCUCACGCUAAAGAAGCUUGGGAAGGAGGGAGCGUGGGAGCCGCUGCAGGGCUCCCCAGGUGGGGGAGAUAACAAGCGGGCGUCAGUUCGAAGCCGCAAGGAGCCCACUGUUUGGUGUUUCUGGGUGCGUGGAGGGGGGAGCCCCCGGUCAAAGCCGGGUCCUCAGCGCCGCCGUCUCCCGAGGCCGAGGGAGCCCCCGCUGCCGCCGGGCUCUGUAUGGCCGCCCUUGUUAGGCUGGGCACUCGCUGCCUUCCCGGUUGUCUUUGGGGGAUUCGCUGAAUACAAGGCCAUUGAUUUGGCAAAGGAAAACGAAGCUAAGGGCCAGAGCAGCUUCGCCCAAUCCGUGCCCUGUGGGGAAUAAUGGCUCACUGUGUGGCAGGCCUGUGCCCCUGUGGCUCCUGGGAUGGGCAGGAGGGUGGGCGGGGGGAUGUGGCUGGGUGCGGGGGGAGGGACACUGCCCCCAGGACUGCUUUUAGGGCCUAGCCUUGGCAGCGAAGCAGUGAGGCCCAGUAGAAAGAGCACAGGACUGGGUGUCCUGUGAGCCCUAUGUGGGACAAAGACUGUGUCCAACCCGAUUAGGAUGGAUCUAGAGAAGGAGCGUGGUCUAGUGGAUAGAGCACAGGCCUGGGAGUCAGAAGGAUCUGGGUCUGCUGCUUUGCUGUGUGACCUUGGGUGAGUCACUUCACUUCUCUGGGCCUCAAUUACCUCAUCUGUAAAAUAGUAUUAAGAUUGUGAGCCCCAUGUGGGACAGGGACUGUGUCCAACCCGGUUAACUUGUAUCUACCCCAGCUCUUAGAACAGUGCCUGGCACAAAGUAAAGGCUAAACAAAUACCACAGUUAUCACCUGCUCUGUGACCUCAGGCAAGUCACUUAAUUCUCUGUGCCUCAUUUUCCUCAUCUCUAAAAUGGAGACCAAAUUCCUUCCCUCCCUCCAUCCCUCCAUCCAUUCCUUCCCUCCAUCCAUCCAUCCCUGAACCCCGGGUGGGGCAGGGACAGUGUCUGACCUGAUUAUCCUGUAUCCAGUCAGUCAGUCAAUUGAUUUAUGGAGAGCUUACUGUGUGCAGAGCUUAGGAUAGUGCAAUAAGCAAUAAACGUUCCCUGCCCACAAUAGGCUUAUAGUCUAGAGGGGGAGACAAACAGAAAUAAAAAUAGAUGAAAUAGCAGAUAAGUGCUGUGGGGCUGAGGGGGGUGAUGAAUAAAGGGAGCAGGUUGGGUGAUACAGAAGAGAGUGGGAGAAGAGGAAAGGAGGGCUUAGUCAGGGAAGGCCUCUUGGAGGAGAUGUGGCCUUCAAUAGGCUUUGAAGAGAGGGAGAGUAAUUGUCUGUCAGAUAUAACGCUUAGCAUAGCACGAGAUCAAUGAAACAUAAUAAUUAUCAGUAUUAUGACUCUGAACUCACAACCUGGUUGGGUCCCCAUGGGCAGAAGCGACUGCCGGGUGGGGGGCUUCCUUGGUGCCCCUCUUCCCCCCGUCACGGAAGCGUG
Molecule: long non-coding RNA, 4540 nt
Filed under: Ornithorhynchus anatinus (platypus)
Lineage: Eukaryota; Metazoa; Chordata; Mammalia; Monotremata; Ornithorhynchidae
Description: lncRNA (ENSOANG00000043082.1)
Source: RNAcentral